RNAcentral lists this ribosomal RNA (1474 nucleotides) under uncultured fungus. RNAcentral describes it as "eukaryotic LSU rRNA". The stretch from base 665 to 1474 matches the Rfam family "Eukaryotic large subunit ribosomal RNA", at positions 1 to 667 of the family's 3401-position model. The record is from RNAcentral. Lineage: Eukaryota; Fungi.
CUUGGUCAUUUAGAGGAAGUAAAAGUCGUAACAAGGUUUCCGUAGGUGAACCUGCGGAAGGAUCAUUCACAAUAAGUGUUUAUGGCACUUUAACCAAUCCAUAUCCACCUUGUGUGCAACGUUUGAAUUUGAUCCGCGCGCUUGCGUGUGGAGAAAGAUUCUUAACCUCAUCAACUUAUUUUGAACUAGUUUGUCUGAAUUUAACGUAUCAUGAAUUACUUAAUUCUAAAAUACAACUUUCAACAACGGAUCUCUUGGCUCUCGCAUCGAUGAAGAACGCAGCGAAAUGCGAUACGUAAUGUGAAUUGCAGAAUUCAGUGAAUCAUCGAAUCUUUGAACGCACAUUGCGCUCUCUGGUAUUCCGGAGAGCAUGCUUGUUUGAGUAUCAGUAAAACACCCUCAGUUCCCUCUCUCUCUCGUUUCGACGGAGGAAAGGGGGAGUUGGACUUGAGUGAUCCCAACGGCAGUGAUUUUCGAAACACUGCUGGCGGGUCGCUUGAAAUGCAGGUGCGGCUGGACACAUCUUCUGAGCUAUAAGCAUUACUUAUUUAGUCCCGUUAAACGGAUUAUAUCUUAUUGCUGCAGCUAACAUAAAGGUCGAUUGUCUUUGUGCCCGACUGAUGCAGGAAGACAAAGGGAGAUGCAAGUCUCUUUUUGUUCAACUCGAUCUCAAAUCAAGCAAGACUACCCGCUGAACUUAAGCAUAUCAAUAAGCGGAGGAAAAGAAACUAACAAGGAUUCCCCUAGUAACGGCGAGUGAAGCGGGAUGAGCUCAAAUUUGAAAUCUGGCUGGUUUACUAGUCCGAGUUGUAGUUUAAAGAAGCGUUUUCGGUGGCAGCCUGGGUAUAAAUCCUUUGGAACAGGGUAUCAUAGAGGGUGAGAAUCCCGUCUUUGACUCAGUGCAUGCUACUAUGUGAUACGUUUUCAAAGAGUCGAGUUGUUUGGGAAUGCAGCUCAAAACGGGUGGUAAAUUUCAUCUAAGGCUAAAUAUUGGCGAGAGACCGAUAGCGAACAAGUACCGUGAGGGAAAGAUGAAAAGAACUUUGAAAAGAGAGUUAAACAGUGCGUGAAAUUGUUGAAAGGGAAACGUUUGACACCAGCUAUGUAGGCGGGAAAUCAGUCAACUGCAGUGAAGGGUUGUAUGGGUCCGGACCGCAAGGCCGGCUUAUGCGUCAUCUUUGUUGUAAGCGAUGCACUUUUUCGUCCGCAGGUCAACAUCAGUUUCGUUCGCUGGACAAAACUCCAAGAGAAGGUAGCAGCUUAGGCUGUGUUAUAGCUCUGGAGCGAUACAGUGGAUGGGACUGAGGAUUCGCAGUGUGUGCUCUCGGGCAAGGCUGAUUGGGUGCUCUGGGGUUGUUUGGCGUACAAUGCAUGCAUUUUGCGCCUUGUCGUCUUCAUACUCGCUCAACUCGGCUCUUCCACGCUUAGGAUGUUGACUUAAUGGUUUUAAACGACCCGUCUUGAAACACGGACC